Molecule: ribosomal RNA, 457 nt
Filed under: uncultured Methanomicrobiales archaeon
Lineage: Archaea; Methanobacteriati; Methanobacteriota; Methanomicrobia; Methanomicrobiales
Description: bacterial SSU rRNA
Rfam family: Archaeal small subunit ribosomal RNA
Source: RNAcentral
AACAGGUGGAGCCUGCGGUUUAAUCGGACUCAAACGCCGGGAAACUCACCAGAUAAGACAGCUGAAUGAUAGUCGGGCUGAAGACUCUACUUGACUAGCUGAGAGGAGGUGCAUGGCCGUCGUCAGUUCGUACUGUGAAGCAUCCUGUUAAGUCAGGCAACGAGCGAGACCCACGCCAACAGUUGCCAGCUCGUCCUCCGGGAUGGUGGGGACACUGUUGGGACCGCCUCUGCUAAAGAGGAGGAAGGAAUGGGCAACGGUAGGUCAGCAUGCCCCGAAUUAUCUGGGCUACACGCGGGCUACAAUGGGUGGGACAAUGGGUAUCGACACCGAAAGGUGAAGGCAAUCUCCUAAACCCAUCCGUAGUUCGGAUUGUGGGCUGCAACUCGCCCACAUGAAGCUGGAAUCUGUAGUAAUCGUGUCUCAAAAUGGCACGGUGAAUAUGUCCCUGCUCCUU